GACAGAGGUGCCAAGCGUUAGGCGGAAUCACUGGGCUUAAAGCGUGUGUAGGCGGAACGGUAAGUACCUUGUGAAAUCCCACAGCUCAACUGUGGAACUGCUCGGUAUACUGCUUUUCUUGAGCCACUUAGGGGCUGUCGGAACAAACGGUGGAGCGGUGAAAUGCGUAGAGAUCCGGAAGAACACCGGUGGCGAAGGCGGCCUGCUGGGGUGGAGCUGACGCUGAGGCGCGACAGCGUGGGGAGCAAACAGG
Molecule: ribosomal RNA, 253 nt
Filed under: uncultured bacterium
Lineage: Bacteria
Description: partial 16S ribosomal RNA
Rfam family: Bacterial small subunit ribosomal RNA
Source: RNAcentral